AACGCAUCUCUGUGCCCGACUGAGACAUAAGAGCAGAAGCAGUUCUGAUUCAGCGAAGAAGUACAAAAUCAAUCUCCUUGCUUUGUGACCUUGGAUGAGGAAACUGAACAACAAAGAGGUUAACUGUUUUGCUUUGGGUGACCUUGAUACCCAGUGAAGAGGCUGAGAGAAGAACCUGGAGCAUCUGACCGGGAUGAAGCACCGACUUUAUGCUCCCAUGGGGUGUGCUUAACACCCUUCAGACUUAGCUUCCUUGUCUGUAAUUGGGGCCGUUCAUUUCCUUUUUUUUUUUUUUCGUUCAUUUCUAUACUCAGCCAGUUGGUGGUGAGUUUGCGUUUGCAAGAGAAUAUGAAUAAAGUAUCAAGCACGUUAUAGCCCAGUGCACAGUGGUUACCUGUUACCAUUGCUGUCUUUUUCC
Long non-coding RNA from Bos taurus (domestic cattle), 418 nucleotides. Lineage: Eukaryota; Metazoa; Chordata; Mammalia; Artiodactyla; Bovidae. The record is from Ensembl.